GAGACAAGAUGGCGGCGCCCGGCGGAGGGAGCGUGGAGGAUGAGGAGGCUGAGCCCGUGUUGGGGCGGUUGGAGGAAGAAGCGCGGCGGAGGCAGGAAAGGCUGCGAGCCCUGCGGCAGAGAGCUAUGCAGAAUAAGAACAGUGGCGAACCUGAGGCCAAGCAGUUCAAAGAAGACGAGGAAGAGGAGAAUGUCAGGCACAGGGAGCUUAUACUGCGAAACUAUGACCCUGAAGAUGAGGAGCUGAAGAAGAGGAAAUUGCCCCCGGCCAAGCCAGCCUCAGUGGAAGACAAGGUGAAGGACCAGCUGGAGGCAGCUAAGCCAGAGACCAUCAUCGACGAAGUGGAUCUAACAAACCUGGCCCCCAGGAAGCCAGACUGGGAUUUAAAACGAGACGUAGCCAAGAAGAUGGAGAAGCUGGAAAAGAGGACUCAGAGAGCCAUUGCUGAACUGAUCCGAGAGCGCUUGAAAGGGCAGGAGGAGGAGUUGGCAGCAGCUGUUGGGUCAGCAAAGCAGGAUGGAAGCGACUCGGACUGAUGUGCUCCAUCUGGGCAUGGGCUCUACCAGCAACACUGAUCCCAUCACUGCCAGCUCAAAGGAUGCAAGGAUCAAGCCCAGACUCCUGGGCUGGGAUGAGCGAGAGGCUGGAUCCCAACUGGACCAUGUGAAUCAUGGACACCAAACCUGCACGUGGGAGCUGGGACCUCAUCCCACUGCUGGAGACAGUGGCUCUUUGAAGGCCUGUGCAGCCAUGCUGCAUUGCUUCUGCCUUCCUCAGGCUUGAGCACGUCCUGUCCUCAGUCAGUCCUUCCCAAAUGGGUCGGGAUCUGCUGUUUCAGCAAGAGAAAACUACACAACCCUGACCUCCUUUGGGGUGGGAGUGCUGCAGCUUGUAGCAAUUUCAUCAAAUAACUGCAGGCUGAGGUUCAGGAGCCCAAUUUCUUAAAGAAGAAGAAAGCGAAGAAGUGAGCCCCAGGAGUUUUGCUUCAUUUUUAGUGACAGUUUGGUCUCUUUCUAUAAAAGCAGAAAAUUGACCAGUGUAGCUCUUGGAGUCAGGUGGCAUCCAUCUCAGCAUCUGCCUGUGACUGGCCUGGAGGGAAACAGGCUUUCUGAACUGGGGAUGCUGAAAGAAAGAAAAAAAGCUUUCUUAGCAUCCCAUAGCUGGAGUUGAACACAUCUGUUAAUGUAAUGAAAUUCAGCCACCCAGGCACUCCCUGCUAGCAAGCUAUCUCAAUUACGACUUAAUAUCCUAUAGGCCAUAUAUCUUUCUAUAUAUUCAUGAAAAACAAAGGACUAAGCCCUGAAUACAGAUGGAGCUGGGGGGAGGCAUCAUGAGAGAGGGGCUUUUUGGAGGCUGCUCCUCACAGCCCAAUGCUGGUGUGAACGUUGGCAGCCUGCAGUGGUUGGGUGCUCCCCCAGUGCCAGCCCAAAGCGAAGAUCCCUUGCUGGGUGUCCAUCCUGGGGGGUCCUAAUUCUCCAUGAGUUUUACUUGUUCUUGCAGGGAAUUGUGUUUUGCGAGUUGUUUGUUUUUUUUCCCCCCAAGAUGGAUUUUUGACCAU
Molecule: RNA transcript, 1558 nt
Organism: Lagopus leucura (white-tailed ptarmigan)
Lineage: Eukaryota; Metazoa; Chordata; Aves; Galliformes; Phasianidae
Gene: CCDC12
Gene name: coiled-coil domain containing 12
Exons: 8
Source: RefSeq, a predicted model, not a curated record